AUUGAACGCUGGCGGCAGGCUUAACACAUGCAAGUCGAACGAGUGGCGGUCGGGUGAGUAAUGUCUGGGAAACUUCCUGAUGGUGGGGGAUAGAUACUGGAAACGGUAGCUAAUACCGAAUACCAUCGGCUGUGGUCAGAUGGGAUUAGCUGGUUGGUGGGGUAACGGCUCACCAAGGCGACGAUCCCUAGCUGGUCUGAGAGGAGGACAGGCCACACUGGAACUGAGACACGGUCCAGAAGCCUACGUGAGGCAGCAGAGGGGAAUAUUAGACAAUGGGCGCGAGCCUGAUACAGCAAGGCAGCAUGUAUGAAGAAGGCGGUCGGGUUGUAAAGAACUUUCAGCGGGGAGGCGUUACCCGCAGAAGAAGCACCGGCUAACUCCGUGCCAGCAGCCGCGGUAAUUC
This 406-nucleotide ribosomal RNA is filed under the name uncultured bacterium. Its description in RNAcentral is "partial 16S ribosomal RNA". It matches the Rfam family "Bacterial small subunit ribosomal RNA", at positions 30 to 526 of the family's 1533-position model. The record is from RNAcentral.